UACGAAGGGGGCUAGCGUUGCUCGGAAUCACUGGGCGUAAAGCGCACGUAGGCGGACUCUUAAGUCGGGGGUGAAAUCCUGGAGCUCAACUCCAGAACUGCCUUCGAUACUGGGAGUCUUGAGUUCGGGAGAGGUGAGUGGAACUGCGAGUGUAGAGGUGAAAUUCGUAGAUAUUCGCAAGAACACCAGUGGCGAAGGCGGCUCACUGGCCCGAUACUGACGCUGAGGUGCGAAAGCGCGGGGAGCAAACAGG
This 253-nucleotide ribosomal RNA is filed under the name uncultured bacterium. Its description in RNAcentral is "partial 16S ribosomal RNA". It matches the Rfam family "Bacterial small subunit ribosomal RNA", at positions 524 to 776 of the family's 1533-position model. The record is from RNAcentral.